Quercus lobata is the source of this 880-nucleotide long non-coding RNA. RefSeq lists it as uncharacterized. The record is from RefSeq and is a predicted model, not a curated record. The transcript has 2 exons. NCBI's taxonomy places the organism in Eukaryota, Viridiplantae, Streptophyta, Magnoliopsida, Fagales, Fagaceae.
UCUCUUUCCCUUUUUUUGCUGCUUUCAGUUUUUCCAAUUCUCCUUAUGCAAUUUCUUUUCAUGGUUUGAUAGCUAGUUGUGGUGGAUUAGGUAGGCUUGGUUGUGUAGAAUGCCCAUAGUUGGUAGUUUUUCCAAUUCACUGCUCUUAGUAUGUAAAAUGCAAUGCUUUUUUAGCAUGCUACAUAGCUGUUUGAUGAAAUGCCUGAGAGGGAUAUGGCCAUUAGAGGGGUUGGUUGUUCAGUAGGAUUUUAGAUGGGUUUGAAAUUUCUUGAUAAUAAUUCUAGUUUAUUUUGAUGCUAAUAACUUAAUCUUUUUGAGUAUAUUAUAUUGAUGAAUCCGUUGAUGAGGAUAUGCUUUGGCACCAUGAGCUAAUUGGUGGGAGAACAAGCUGGGCUACUUUGGCACGUUUUCUCCUACACAGAAUGAUAUCCAUUGUUUACUUGCUACAAAUUAAGCCAUGGGUAAAUGUCUACUGUCAUUUCCUACAGAUUCAUCUGAUGAGGAAGGGAAUUCAAGGCCUAGGUUCCAUGAGUUUAACCAACACACUGGCAUGAAGAAUGUAUAGCUAAUAGAUGGACUCAAAUUUGUAUCACAUGUAGUCUUCAAGGAGGCACUAAAGGAGUGGUGUAUUAGAGAAAAUCAUGAUUAGGCAAUAAGUGGAGAGUAAAAACUAGAUGCAAAAAUAAUUCUAAUAAAAAAAAGUGGUUGGAAGAUAGAUGCAUCCCAAACACAAAUGGGUGUUAUUUUUUUGAAACAAUUUACUAUUUGUAAAUGCUCAUUGAUAUUUUAAUUCAUGGUAGUUGAGGAGAACAUUUUACUCUUUGUAAACCUUUUGGUUUGAUAUUUCAUCAUUUAAUGUAUAUCAAAGCAAUCAAAUAAA